This 95-nucleotide transfer RNA is filed under the name Actinokineospora sp. UTMC 2448. Its description in RNAcentral is "tRNA-Pro". Lineage: Bacteria; Bacillati; Actinomycetota; Actinomycetes; Pseudonocardiales; Pseudonocardiaceae. The record is from RNAcentral.
CGGCGGGCUGCCGCGGCGGCGAUCUGCGCGGUGGCGGCGAUCGCGGGGAUGUCGUACGCGGUGUCCUCGACGCGGGUCGCGUCCGCGCCCGCCGG